GAUGAACGCUGGCGGCGUGCCUAAUACAUGCAAGUCGAGCGAACGGACGAGAAGCUUGCUUCUCUUAUGUUAGCGGCGGACGGGUGAGUAACACGUGGAUAACCUACCUAUAAGACUGGGAUAACUUCGGGAAACCGGAGCUAAUACCGGAUAAUAUUUUGAACCGCAUGGUUCAAAAGUGAAAGACGGUCUUGCUGUCACUUAUAGAUGGAUCCGCGCUGCAUUAGCUAGUUGGUAAGGUAACGGCUUACCAAGGCAACGAUGCAUAGCCGACCUGAGAGGGUGAUCGGCCACACUGGAACUGAGACACGGUCCAGACUCCUACGGGAGGCAGCAGUAGGGAAUCUUCCGCAAUGGGCGAAAGCCUGACGGAGCAACGCCGCGUGAGUGAUGAAGGUCUUCGGAUCGUAAAGCUCUGUUAUUAGGGAAGAACAUAUGUGUAAGUAACUGUGCACAUCUUGACGGUACCUAAUCAGAAAGCCACGGCUAACUACGUG
This 497-nucleotide ribosomal RNA is filed under the name uncultured bacterium. RNAcentral describes it as "partial 16S ribosomal RNA". It matches the Rfam family "Bacterial small subunit ribosomal RNA", at positions 28 to 507 of the family's 1533-position model. The record is from RNAcentral.